Molecule: ribosomal RNA, 372 nt
Filed under: uncultured organism
Description: bacterial SSU rRNA
Rfam family: Bacterial small subunit ribosomal RNA
Source: RNAcentral
CAGAGGGUGCAAGCGUUGUUCGGAAUUAUUGGGCAUAAAGCGCGUGUAGGCGGCUUGGCAAGUCAGAUGUGAAAGCCCUCGGCUUAACCGAGGAAGUGCGUCUGAAACUGCUGAGCUUGAGUGUCGGAGAGGAUGGCGGAAUUCCGCAAGUAGAGGUGAAAUUCGUAGAUAUGCGGAGGAACACCGGUGGCGAAGGCGGCCAUCUGGACGACUACUGACGCUGAGACGCGAAAGCGUGGGGAGCAAACAGGAUUAGAUACCCUGGUAGUCCACGCUGUAAACGAUGAGAACUAGGUGUCGUGGGUGUUGACCCCCGCGGUGCCGCAGCUAACGCAUUAAGUUCUCCGCCUGGGAAGUACGGCCGCAAGGCUA